RNAcentral lists this ribosomal RNA (322 nucleotides) under uncultured eukaryote. RNAcentral's name for it is "partial 18S ribosomal RNA". It matches the Rfam family "Eukaryotic small subunit ribosomal RNA", at positions 1470 to 1796 of the family's 1831-position model. The record is from RNAcentral.
CCCUUAGAUGUUCUGGGCCGCACGCGUGCUACACUGAUUGGAUCAGCGGGUCAGGUUGCGCGAAAGCGUUUCCUAAUCUUUAAAUCCGCUCGUGAUGGGGAUUGACGGUUGCAAUUUUCUGUCAUGAACGAGGAAUACCUUGUAAGCGCGGGUCAUCAUCCCGCGCUGAAUACGUCCCUGCCCUUUGUACACACCGCCCGUCGCUCCUACCGAUUGAGUGGUCCGGUGAGGCUUUGGGAUCUGAGCGGAAAGAGCGUUUCGCUGUUUCUGCUCGGAAAACUCAGUCGAACCUUAUCAUUUAGAGGAAGGAGAAGUCGUAACA